CGGGAAAAAAGGCAAAUUAUCCGCAAGGAUAAGACGCAAAGCUUCCGGUCCUGAGCGAACGAAGUGAGUCGAAGGAUAGCGGAGUUACCAAA
Molecule: non-coding RNA, 92 nt
Organism: Omnitrophica WOR_2 bacterium GWB2_45_9
Lineage: Bacteria; Pseudomonadati; Candidatus Omnitrophota
Source: Rfam